CCAGGCGUAUCAGGUAAGGAUCCUGUGAUGUUGAUAGAAAAAAAAACUUUUCUGUGAUAUUAUCUUCCUGGCAGUAAAUGAUCAGUCAUGAUCAGACAUAAUAAGAUAAAUGUAUAACCGAGCUGUUGAUUUUCUUCGUGCAUGUUCAUUAUAUUUCUAGCAGUAAUCGGCAGUUGUGAUGAUCGGUCAGUUUUUGCAUCAAAUAGAUAUUUCUAAACGAAUAUUCAAGGCUUUGUUAUGGCUUGCAUUCCCGUGCUGUUGUUCCCAACAUGUUUCUGUAACAAGAAGAACACGAGCUCCUCAUCUUUGUAUCAUAAUCACUCUUAACCUUGUUUUCCAUUUUGUUUGGUGAUUAGAGUAUAAAUUCUGGCAAUGGUGCAAAGGUGGAAAACUUAGCCGUUUAAUCGCAGUUGUGUUGCUCAAUUGCGACACUGUAUUCCAGGAUUACAAUAUUAAUCUUUCUAUUCAUGGAAUGCAGAAUAGCUUAUGAGUUUUAUCUGCAGGAAACCAAACCGAAACAUGCUUCUCUAUAAACCGUACCAAGGCGACAACAUUCUUAUUUAUAUUCCGUUGAUCAAGUAGCAGGAAAAGGCCUACUUACUCUUUACUUUGAUUUUCCAUUUUUGGGAACCAGGUGAAGUAUCCUCCACGUAGGGCAUUAAGCAGGUAACAUUAGAAAGUGCACUUUUGUUUUCACUCUUACUCGCACUAUCCUGUAUGCAUGGAAACUAAUUUACCAUUUUGAUUAUUUGGUGUAUACUAUCUAAAAUAGCAGGCAGAGCCGCCACAUACUCUUGUUUCCGUUCUCAAAUUGGACCAGAAAAAAGCUUUUUACCGGAUGAAGCAAAAAAAAAAUCCAUCCCUCUUGAAUGCCUACAUUGUUGCUCACAAGCAUGUGCCUUUCUAUGUUGUUUUUUGUCUAAUUUAGAGAGCAUAUUGAUAAUGGUCAGCACUAAUCAUUUUUUUAAUCUUUCCUGAAGGGCUCUUACCAGCUACAUUAUUUUUUUUUCUCUCCUAAAGUGACAAGCAAGUUUCCAAGUUCAAGUCAGAUGACACGAUGCGGGGUGAUUAUUUUAGGAUGGUUCCUAAUGUAUCCGCCAUUUAGGUUAUACUAGCUGGAUGCCCGUGCUUUGCCACGGAAUAGCAAAUAAUAUAUACACAUAAAUAGAACUCUUUAAUAGACAUUUCUAUCUCCUUAACCAACAUCCUUUCAUAAGAUACUUAUAUGCAAGUGAAUAGUGAUGCAAAUGGUACUAUUUAAUAUUAGCUUGUUUUUUGUAAACAAAUAAGAUGGAAUCAUCCUAGCUCCAUUCACAGAAC
This 1320-nucleotide long non-coding RNA is filed under the name Hordeum vulgare. Its description in RNAcentral is "long non-coding RNA (HVUL_LNC014491)". The record is from RNAcentral. Lineage: Eukaryota; Viridiplantae; Streptophyta; Magnoliopsida; Poales; Poaceae.